CCUCAGUGGCGUUCUUCCUAGGCUACAGCACCUAAACCAACUGAUUUCCUCAGGGAGACUAACAUCUCAUUCAAACCACAGCAGCCUGCGAAAGCUAGGCUUCAUUCUUGUGUGUGUGUCCAGGAUCUUUCGUGGGCCCAAAGAAGUGAAGAGGGUCUUUACUGCCUUACCGCUAGUAUUUGCCACAGAAGCAGAAGCGAAGACAUCACAUCAUGAUGCUGGCUUCUGCUGCAUGUAAAGGCUAUGCUGUGGUGCUGUGCUAUGACUUAUAUGGGCCAUAGCAUGCAGAGAAAGAAUAUUUGAUUAAGGACCAAGACAUCUUACAGAAGAAAGGGUUUACAGUUCCAGAGUGAUGAGCAUUCCUGGUGACAGAGUUGAAGCAUGGAGCAUGACAGCAAGUGACAGGCAAGACUACAUAGACAAGGAGGAAACUGAGAGCUCACACUUGACAAAGCAGAGAAUGCGAACUGGAGUGUAAACUGAAGACCAGAAGCUGACCUUUGGAGACAUCUAGUCCAGCAGAGCAGCUGCUGCAUUCUCAGUAUCUUCAACGUGAGACAACCAUGUCGGAAAACCCAACCCAUAUCACUUUCAGGUUCUGAUGUCACUGUCUGGCCCAAGGCCCCUGCAUGCAGUGGUGCUCCUGCAUAUGAACUCACAUAAGCGCAAGCAAACACAUAAAAACAAAAAGAUAAAGUUUCACAGCGAAACAUUCACACCACAGCAUGGACGCUUCUCUCUGCACUUGGACAUAUUUUCAGUGGAAAGAAGAGAAUGCAGACAAAAAAAGUCAGAUGCUCCUGUCAAUGCCUGCCUGUGGAUGCCAUCACCUCCGUAGGCCACAAGUUCACGGGAAGUAGAUCCCUGAACAUCUCACACCUCACAACGGUCGUCUAGGCUAGAUGAAAUAGCUCUUCUGCCUUGAAAGAUCUCCCGAGUGUGUGUCAGCCACCUGUGAGUCCAAAGCCUUACCAACUGACUCACUUCUCUGGAAACGGCCUCAACUUUUCGAUUAUUAUUAGGAAUGUUUUGAAUUUUUAUGUUAAUGGCAGAGAGAAAGUAGAACAAAGAAGAAACGGGCCUGUCAUCUAAGCUGAGACGAUAAUCAAUAAUGAAAACGCAGGAAUGGCACAGCCUCGUCGUCUAUGCACAUAUAUUUUAUGGGUUUAGGUUCACACUCUCCUGAGACUGUUGAAGUCUGUGUUUGGACCCCAAGUCUCAAGAACCAGUUCCCCCCAUUUCAUUAAUAUUUCUUUGUAGUUGUAGUCUAAUACUGAUCUAUGAUAUUUUGCCUAAUCGUUCACCUCUUUCGGGCAUUUUAUAACCUCCUUUUUGUCCCCCCUCUUCUUCCUGACUGUAGGUCGUGCUUAAAUAAACCAAUUCAUACAAGUAGC
This 1394-nucleotide long non-coding RNA is filed under the name Mus caroli (Ryukyu mouse). Its description in RNAcentral is "lncRNA (MGP_CAROLIEiJ_G0004901.1)". Lineage: Eukaryota; Metazoa; Chordata; Mammalia; Rodentia; Muridae. The record is from RNAcentral.